GACGGAGGAUGCAAGCGUUAUCCGGAAUGAUUGGGCGUAAAGCGUCCGCAGGUGGCAGUUCAAGUCUGCUGUCAAAGACCGGGGCUUAACUUCGGAAAGGCAGUGGAAACUGAACAGCUAGAGUAUGGUAGGGGCAGAGGGAAUUCCUGGUGUAGCGGUGAAAUGCGUAGAGAUCAGGAAGAACAUCGGUGGCGAAGGCAGCCCCCUGGGUCAAGAUUGACGCUCAUGCACGAAAGCGUGGGGAGCAAACAGG
Molecule: ribosomal RNA, 253 nt
Filed under: uncultured bacterium
Lineage: Bacteria
Description: partial 16S ribosomal RNA
Rfam family: Bacterial small subunit ribosomal RNA
Source: RNAcentral